GCCGGGUGUGGUGCGCGUGCCUGUAAUCCAAGUUACUGGAGGUUGAGACUGGUGGAUCGUUUGAGCUCAGGAUCUCUGAGCUGCAGUGGACUAUGUCGAUCGGGUGUCCCAAUAAGUUCGGUAUCGAUAUGGUGCUCCUGGGGGAGCCGGGACCACCAGGUCGUCUAAGGAGGGGUGCACCGGCCCAGGUCGGAAACGGAGCAGGCAAAGCCCCCGUGCCCGCUCAGUAGUGGGAUCGCGCCUGUGAAUAGAGGCUGUAGUGAAGCCUGAGUAAUACAGCGGGACCCAGUCUUUU
Molecule: signal recognition particle RNA, 295 nt
Filed under: Neogobius melanostomus (round goby)
Lineage: Eukaryota; Metazoa; Chordata; Actinopteri; Gobiiformes; Gobiidae
Description: Metazoan signal recognition particle RNA (ENSNMLG00000003702.1)
Rfam family: Metazoan signal recognition particle RNA
About the family: The signal recognition particle (SRP) is a universally conserved ribonucleoprotein. It is involved in the co-translational targeting of proteins to membranes.
Source: Rfam by way of RNAcentral